GGGUAACCUACCUAUAAGACUGGGAUAACUUCGGGAAACCGGAGCUAAUACCGGAUAACAUUUGGAACCGCAUGGUUCUAAAGUGAAAGAUGGUUUUGCUAUCACUUAUAGAUGGACCCGCGCCGUAUUAGCUAGUUGGUAAGGUAACGGCUUACCAAGGCAACGAUACGUAGCCGACCUGAGAGGGUGAUCGGCCACACUGGAACUGAGACACGGUCCAGACUCCUACGGGAGGCAGCAGUAGGGAAUCUUCCGCAAUGGGCGAAAGCCUGACGGAGCAACGCCGCGUGAGUGAUGAAGGGUUUCGGCUCGUAAAACUCUGUUAUUAGGGAAGAACAAAUGUGUAAGUAACUGUGCACAUCUUGACGGUACCUAAUCAGAAAGCCACGGCUAACUACGUGCCAGCAGCCGCGGUAAUACGUAGGUGGCAAGCGUUAUCCGGAAUUAUUGGGCGUAAAGCGCGCGUAGGCGGUUUCUUAAGUCUGAUGUGAAAGCCCACGGCUCAACCGUGGAGGGUCAUUGGAAACUGGGAAACUUGAGUGCAGAAGAGGAAAGUGGAAUUCCAUGUGUAGCGGUGAAAUGCGCAGAGAUAUGGAGGAACACCAGUGGCGAAGGCGACUUUCUGGUCUGUAACUGACGCUGAUGUGCGAAAGCGUGGGGAUCAAACAGGAUUAGAUACCCUGGUAGUCCACGCCGUAAACGAUGAGUGCUAAGUGUUAGGGGGUUUCCGCCCCUUAGUGCUGCAGCUAACGCAUUAAGCACUCCGCCUGGGGAGUACGACCGCAAGGUUGAAACUCAAAGGAAUUGACGGGGACCCGCACAAGCGGUGGAGCAUGUGGUUUAAUUCGAAGCAACGCGAAGAACCUUACCAAAUCUUGACAUCCUUUGAAAACUCUAGAGAUAGAGCCUUCCCCUUCGGGGGACAAAGUGACAGGUGGUGCAUGGUUGUCGUCAGCUCGUGUCGUGAGAUGUUGGGUUAAGUCCCGCAACGAGCGCAACCCUUAAGCUUAGUUGCCAUCAUUAAGUUGGGCACUCUAGGUUGACUGCCGGUGACAAACCGGAGGAAGGUGGGGAUGACGUCAAAUCAUCAUGCCCCUUAUGAUUUGGGCUACACACGUGCUACAAUGGACAAUACAAAGGGCAGCUAAACCGCGAGGUCAUGCAAAUCCCAUAAAGUUGUUCUCAGUUCGGAUUGUAGUCUGCAACUCGACUACAUGAAGCUGGAAUCGCUAGUAAUCGUAGAUCAGCAUGCUACGGUGAAUACGUUCCCGGGUCUUGUACACACCGCCCGUCACACCACGAGAGU
RNAcentral lists this ribosomal RNA (1306 nucleotides) under Staphylococcus pseudoxylosus. Its description in RNAcentral is "bacterial SSU rRNA". It matches the Rfam family "Bacterial small subunit ribosomal RNA", at positions 119 to 1411 of the family's 1533-position model. The record is from RNAcentral. Lineage: Bacteria; Bacillati; Bacillota; Bacilli; Caryophanales; Staphylococcaceae.